CGAGCGUUAAUCGGAAUUACUGGGCGUAAAGCGCAUGCAGGUGGUUUGUUAAGUCAGAUGUGAAAGCCCGGGGCUCAACCUCGGAAUUGCAUUUGAAACUGGCAGGCUAGAGUACUGUAGAGGGGGGUAGAAUUUCAGGUGUAGCGGUGAAAUGCGUAGAGAUCUGAAGGAAUACCGGUGGCGAAGGCGGCCCCCUGGACAGAUACUGACACUCAGAUGCGAAAGCGUGGGGA
This 233-nucleotide ribosomal RNA is filed under the name Vibrio parahaemolyticus. RNAcentral's name for it is "partial 16S ribosomal RNA". It matches the Rfam family "Bacterial small subunit ribosomal RNA", at positions 535 to 767 of the family's 1533-position model. Lineage: Bacteria; Pseudomonadati; Pseudomonadota; Gammaproteobacteria; Vibrionales; Vibrionaceae. The record is from RNAcentral.